UCGCAUUGAGGUCCCCAACCACCAAGGCC
This 29-nucleotide small RNA is filed under the name Bombyx mori (domestic silkworm). RNAcentral describes it as "ovarian small RNA-28640". Lineage: Eukaryota; Metazoa; Arthropoda; Insecta; Lepidoptera; Bombycidae. The record is from RNAcentral.